AUUGAACGCUGGCGGCAGGCCUAACACAUGCAAGUCGAGCGGAUGAAGGGAGCUUGCUCCUGGAUUCAGCGGCGGACGGGUGAGUAAUGCCUAGGAAUCUGCCUGGUAGUUGGGGAUAACGUCCGGAAACGGGCGCUAAUACCGCAUACGUCCUGAGGGAGAAAGUGGGGGAUCUUCGGACCUCACGCUAUCAGAUGAGCCUAGGUCGGAUUAGCUAGUUGGUGGGGUAAAGGCCUACCAAGGCGACGAUCCGUAACUGGUCUGAGAGGAUGAUCAGUCACACUGGAACUGAGACACGGUCCAGACUCCUACGGGAGGCAGCAGUGGGGAAUAUUGGACAAUGGGCGAAAGCCUGAUCCAGCCAUGCCGCGUGUGUGAAGAAGGUCUUCGGAUUGUAAAGCACUUUAAGUUGGGAGGAAGGGCAGUAAGUUAAUACCUUGCUGUUUUGACGUUACCAACAGAAUAAGCACCGGCUAACUUCGUG
This 484-nucleotide ribosomal RNA is filed under the name uncultured bacterium. RNAcentral describes it as "partial 16S ribosomal RNA". It matches the Rfam family "Bacterial small subunit ribosomal RNA", at positions 30 to 507 of the family's 1533-position model. The record is from RNAcentral.